AUAUUACAUAAUUGAAAUACGAAAAUUUAGUUUACGUAGACGAUAGAAAUUAAUUUGACAUGAUUUUACAUAAACACGAGUAUAAUAUAAUAUAUGCAUGUAUAUUCUUGGAUAUGCUUUUAUAUAAAUAUGCAAAAUAUGUACUAUUAGGUUUGAAUAUCGACUUCCAUUUCGACCCGAAUAGUCAAAUACCAAUCCAGUUCAACACACGUUAUCCGAGCAUUCGAUGUCAGCACACAAGCCCAUUGUACUCGAUGGGAGAAGGGUUAACACCGGAAGAACAAGUUCUCCCUAUUCCAAUCUCUUUGCCUAUUGUCACAAUCCGUGUCGGCCCAAAGACGAUCGAUUCUCAUGCUUUAAAGCGAGGGAAAAAGCUUAUGAACAACAGUGAGAAGGUCUCGUAACUCUUUCCAUUCUCUCGUCUCGAAAAGUGCGAGUUUCCAAGACGUUUUCCACGUCUAGAAACACGAGGCUAGAUCGGAGCCAACGAUCAAGAAGAAACUGGCACGAGUCUUGGGACAUAAUUCUCAUCCCAGUAUACCCUUUUGCGGUGACAGCGAGAAGAGGAGGUGGGGAAUACGUCGGAACCCGAUCAGAAAUCGGAAUCCCGUGGAAAGGAGGUUCCAUUAGCGAGAACGGAUUUCGAGGAAAGGAUUUCUCUGAAUCCUCGCCGUUCUAUUAAUGUCACAUCCAUCGCCGUCGGGGACUGGCGAAAAGAGGAAUAAAGGGAGGAAGAGUUGGAAAAGAAGAAAGAGUGAAACGUACACGGUUGAAUAUGGGCAUUGUGCGAAGAUGACUUGGCUAGGAAGAAAUGUGUGAUUCUGAUUGGUUGAUCCUGAUAUAUUUAUGAUAAUAGGUAUCAAUAUUCAGGUAUAUUGGUUAAAUUAUAUUUAUUGGUAAGAUUAUAUAAUAUGAGGUGAGUCUAAAAAAUAAUUAGAAUUUUUUUUUUUAUUAAAUUUUGCUAUUGUAUCUAGAUAUAUGUGGCUUGAUACAAGAAAUAUCAUGUGUUUCAAAAAAAUCAAUUAAUUAGUAUUGAUAUAAACAAUUGUAUAUUAUGUAUAAAAAAACAAUUUUAAAUUCUAUCUAGAAAUGUUUAUAAUGGGAUUUUUAUAAUAUUAUAUGA
This is a long non-coding RNA of Apis cerana (Asiatic honeybee), 1123 nucleotides long. RefSeq lists it as uncharacterized. Lineage: Eukaryota; Metazoa; Arthropoda; Insecta; Hymenoptera; Apidae. The record is from RefSeq and is a predicted model, not a curated record.